ACUCAAAGGAAUAGACGGGGGCCCGCACAAGCGGUGGAUGAUGUGGAUUAAUUCGAUGCAACGCGAAAAACCUUACCUACCCUUGACAUGCCAGGAACCUUGCUGAGAGGUGAGGGUGCUCGAAAGAGAGCCUGGACACAGGUGCUGCAUGGCUGUCGUCAGCUCGUGUCGUGAGAUGUUGGGUUAAGUCCCGCAACGAGCGCAACCCUUGCCAUUAGUUGCGACAUUUAGUUGAGCACUCUAAUGGGACUGCCGGUGACAAACCGGAGGAAGGUGGGGAUGACGUCAAGUCCUCAUGGCCCUUAUGGGUAGGGCUUCACACGUCAUACAAUGGUCGGUACAGAGGGUUGCCAACCCGCGAGGGGGAGCCAAUCUCAGAAAGCCGAUCGUAGUCCGGAUUGUAGUCUGCAACUCGACUGCAUGAAGUCGGAAUCGCUAGUAAUCGCGGAUCAGCAUGUCGCGGUGAAUACGUUCCCGGGCCUUGCACACACCGCCCGU
RNAcentral lists this ribosomal RNA (498 nucleotides) under uncultured bacterium. RNAcentral's name for it is "partial 16S ribosomal RNA". It matches the Rfam family "Bacterial small subunit ribosomal RNA", at positions 899 to 1397 of the family's 1533-position model. The record is from RNAcentral.